This 253-nucleotide ribosomal RNA is filed under the name uncultured bacterium. RNAcentral's name for it is "partial 16S ribosomal RNA". It matches the Rfam family "Bacterial small subunit ribosomal RNA", at positions 524 to 776 of the family's 1533-position model. The record is from RNAcentral.
UACGUAGGUGGCAAGCGUUAUCCGGAAUUAUUGGGCGUAAAGCGCGCGCAGGCGGUUUCUUAAGUCUGAUGUGAAAGCCCACGGCUCAACCGUGGAGGGUCAUUGGAAACUGGGGAACUUGAGUGCAGAAGAGAAAAGCGGAAUUCCACGUGUAGCGGUGAAAUGCGUAGAGAUGUGGAGGAACACCAGUGGCGAAGGCGGCUUUUUGGCUGUAACUGACGCUGAGGCGCGGAAAGCGUGGGGAGCAAACAGG